Molecule: ribosomal RNA, 463 nt
Filed under: Salmonella enterica subsp. enterica serovar Infantis
Lineage: Bacteria; Pseudomonadati; Pseudomonadota; Gammaproteobacteria; Enterobacterales; Enterobacteriaceae
Also listed under: 14 other names
Description: partial 23S ribosomal RNA
Rfam family: Bacterial large subunit ribosomal RNA
Source: RNAcentral
CGUGCUAAUCUGCGAUAAGCGCCGGUAAGGUGAUAUGAACCGUUAUAACCGGCGAUACCCGAAUGGGGAAACCCAGUGUGAUUCGUCACACUAUCAUUAACUGAAUCCAUAGGUUAAUGAGGCGAACCGGGGGAACUGAAACAUCUAAGUACCCCGAGGAAAAGAAAUCAACCGAGAUUCCCCCAGUAGCGGCGAGCGAACGGGGAGGAGCCCAGAGCCUGAAUCAGCAUGUGUGUUAGUGGAAGCGUCUGGAAAGGCGCGCGAUACAGGGUGACAGCCCCGUACACAAAAGCGCAUGUGCUGUGAGCUCGAUGAGUAGGGCGGGACACGUGGUAUCCUGUCUGAAUAUGGGGGGACCAUCCUCCAAGGCUAAAUACUCCUGACUGACCGAUAGUGAACCAGUACCGUGAGGGAAAGGCGAAAAGAACCCCGGCGAGGGGAGUGAAAAAGAACCUGAAACCGU